RNAcentral lists this small RNA (125 nucleotides) under Marmota monax (woodchuck). Lineage: Eukaryota; Metazoa; Chordata; Mammalia; Rodentia; Sciuridae. The record is from RNAcentral.
GCCAGGCGUGAUGGUGCACCCCUGUAAUCCCAGCAGUUUGGGAGGCUGAGGCAGGAGGAUCAUGAGAUCAAAGCCAGCCUCAGCAAAAGUGAGGCACUAAGCAACUCAGUGAGACCCUGUCUCUA